This 423-nucleotide ribosomal RNA is filed under the name uncultured bacterium. RNAcentral's name for it is "bacterial SSU rRNA". It matches the Rfam family "Bacterial small subunit ribosomal RNA", at positions 207 to 622 of the family's 1533-position model. The record is from RNAcentral.
AAGACCUUGCGCUUUUGGAGCGGCCGAUGUCUGAUUAGCUUGUUGGUGAGGUAAAGGCUUACCAAGGCUUCGAUCAGUAGCUGGUCUGAGAGGACGGCCAGCCACACUGGGACUGAGACACGGCCCAGACUCCUACGGGAGGCAGCAGUGGGGAAUUUUGGACAAUGGGGGCAACCCUGAUCCAGCCAUGCCGCGUGAGUGAAGAAGGCCUUCGGGUUGUAGAGCUCUUUCAGCCGGAACGAAACGGUUACGGUUAAUACCCGUGACUACUGACGGUACCGGAAGAAGAAGCACCGGCUAACUACGUGCCAGCAGCCGCGGUAAUACGUAGGGUGCAAGCGUUAAUCGGAAUUACUGGGCGUAAAGCGUGCGCAGGUGGUUUUGUAAGUCAGAUGUGAAAUCCCCGGGCUUAACCUGGGAACU